RNAcentral lists this ribosomal RNA (253 nucleotides) under uncultured bacterium. RNAcentral describes it as "partial 16S ribosomal RNA". It matches the Rfam family "Bacterial small subunit ribosomal RNA", at positions 524 to 776 of the family's 1533-position model. The record is from RNAcentral.
UACGAAGGGUGCAAGCGUUACUCGGAAUUACUGGGCGUAAAGGGUGCGUAGGUGGUUGUUUAAGUCUGCUGUGAAAGCCCCGGGCUCAACCUGGGAAUGGCAGUGGAUACUGGACAGCUAGAGUGCGGUAGAGGGUAGUGGAAUUCCCGGUGUAGCAGUGAAAUGCGUAGAGAUCGGGAGGAACACCAGUGGCGAAGGCGGCUUUUUGGUCUGUAACUGACGCUGAGGCGCGAAAGCGUGGGGAGCAAACAGG